RNAcentral lists this ribosomal RNA (253 nucleotides) under uncultured bacterium. RNAcentral describes it as "partial 16S ribosomal RNA". It matches the Rfam family "Bacterial small subunit ribosomal RNA", at positions 524 to 776 of the family's 1533-position model. The record is from RNAcentral.
UACGUAGGUGGCGAGCGUUGUCCGGAUUUACUGGGCGUAAAGAGCGCGCAGGCGGUCGUUCAAGUCGCGUGUGAAAGCCCCCGGCUCAACUGGGGAGGGUCACGCGAUACUGAUCGACUCGAAGGCAGGAGAGGGAAGUGGAAUUCCCGGUGUAGUGGUGAAAUGCGUAGAUAUCGGGAGGAACACCAGUGGCGAAGGCGGCUUGCCAGAACGCGCUCGACGGUGAGGGAUGAAAGCUGGGGGAGCAAACCGG